AACGAACGCUGGCGGCAUGCCUAACACAUGCAAGUCGAACGAGAUCUUCGGGUCUAGUGGCGCACGGGUGCGUAACGCGCGGGAAUCUGCCCUUUGGUUCGGAAUAACAGUUGGAAACGACUGCUAAUACCGGAUGAUGACGAAAGUCCAAAGAUUUAUCGCCAGAGGAUGAGCCCGCGUAGGAUUAGCUAGUUGGUGUGGUAAAGGCGCACCAAGGCGACGAUCCUUAGCUGGUCUGAGAGGAUGAUCAGCCACACUGGGACUGAGACACGGCCCAGACUCCUACGGGAGGCAGCAGUGGGGAAUAUUGGACAAUGGGCGGAAGCCUGAUCCAGCAAUGCCGCGUGAGUGAUGAAGGCCUUAGGGUUGUAAAGCUCUUUUACCCGGGAUGAUAAUGACAGUACCGGGAGAAUAAGCUCCGGCUAACUCCGUGCCAGCAGCCGCGGUAA
This 449-nucleotide ribosomal RNA is filed under the name uncultured bacterium. RNAcentral describes it as "partial 16S ribosomal RNA". It matches the Rfam family "Bacterial small subunit ribosomal RNA", at positions 29 to 523 of the family's 1533-position model. The record is from RNAcentral.